Molecule: long non-coding RNA, 753 nt
Organism: Manis pentadactyla (Chinese pangolin)
Lineage: Eukaryota; Metazoa; Chordata; Mammalia; Pholidota; Manidae
Exons: 4
Source: RefSeq, a predicted model, not a curated record
UUUCCCCACUGCAUCGGCUGGUUCCAUUAGGGCUCAGGUGUUCUGACUUAGAAACCUUCCUUCCACUGGUUUGGUGCAGUUCACCACAUUCCACAACGUGAGCAGAACGUUCUGACCCUGAUCUCUGACGGAGGACGUCCGUGUGCUGUGUGUCCCUAUGCUCUGCCUGCUACCUGCCCGUGGCAUCCCUGCCCAGUCGUGACCAACAAAAGCCUCUCCAGAUACUGUGAGAUGUCCCUGUUUGAGAACCACUGGUGUAGUGAAUGCCAGGUGGACCUGCAUCGGUACGGGAAGCAUGGGCGUGGCAGACCCCAAGGUUGAUGAUGACGUUGAUGAUGAUGGUGAUACCUGCUGAUGUUGGCCGAGUGUUGGUCUACGGCUGAGGCAGCUGAGAAAACCAUGCCAGUGAGCCUCCCCCAGGUGGGUGCUGGGCCCCAGCGUGUCCCGGGCGCUGUGAGCAGCACAGCCCUCCCGGAUCCACAGCUCCGCCGUCCCCAGGUCCGGUUACCCACAGUCCUGAAGCGCUGACCCCUUUCUGGCCAAUCCUGAGAAGGCCAAUGGCAGCCUAACUAUGUCGCGAUGCUGCGUCAUCCGCCUGACUUCAUCUCACCGCAUGGAGGUUUAUCAUAUCACAUCUUCACAAGAAGGGUACUGGUUAAACGCUGCCUGACAAUCCGUGUAAUGCUCACAGCAACCUGAUGAAGUUGUACAGAUGCGGCUCUGGAAAGAUGAGGGACCCACUGAGGCUCAAAG